CCUACGGGAGGCAGCAGUGGGGAAUAUUGCACAAUGGGGGAAACCCUGAUGCAGCGACGCCGCGUGAGUGAAGAAGCGUUUCGGCGCGUAAAGCUCUGUCAGCGGGGAAGAAACACGGUUCGCGAGAGCCGCGGACGGUACCCGACCAAGAAGCCCCGGCUAACUACGUGCCAGCAGCCGCGGUAAUACGUAGGGGGCAAGCGUUAUCCGGAUUUACUGGGUGUAAAGGGAGAGUAGGCGGCAAGGUAAGCGAUAUGUGAAAGCCUUAGGCUUAACCAAAGGAUUGCAUAACGAACUAUCUAGCUAGAGUACAGGAGAGGAAAGCGGAAUUCCUAGUGUAGCGGUGAAAUGCGUAGAGAUUAGGAAGAACACCAGUGGCGAAGGCGGCUUUCUGGACUGAAACUGACGCUGAGGCUCGAAAGCGUGGGGAGCGAACAGGAUUAGAUACCCCAGUAGUC
Molecule: ribosomal RNA, 458 nt
Filed under: uncultured bacterium
Lineage: Bacteria
Description: partial 16S ribosomal RNA
Rfam family: Bacterial small subunit ribosomal RNA
Source: RNAcentral